RNAcentral lists this long non-coding RNA (353 nucleotides) under Trifolium pratense (red clover). RNAcentral's name for it is "long non-coding RNA (TPRA_LNC013956)". Lineage: Eukaryota; Viridiplantae; Streptophyta; Magnoliopsida; Fabales; Fabaceae. The record is from RNAcentral.
UAUUGGAAGACUCCACCUCAAACUGAGUUUCCACCAAAGUAUACCCACCAUGAUCUUCACCUUGUAACACGCAAGACCUCUUCAACUCCUCUGAAACAUACUUCAAGCUAUUGUUAGUCUCCAACAAUUCUAGUUCAGUUCAACACCUAGUAAACCUUGUUCACUAGUCCAACUAAACACAUGUCACUAACAGGUCCACCCGAAGUCCCAAAACUCAAUCACAUUAUGAGAAUCACCACUAGUUAUAGAUGCAUGACCAACUAUCUUUGCAUCUAAGUUCAGAAACAUACCUCACAUCGUGUAAAGAAACUCACGAUUGUCAAACUUCGUAAGACAAACUGAACCCAUACNNN